Molecule: transfer RNA, 76 nt
Filed under: Lactobacillus sp.
Lineage: Bacteria; Bacillati; Bacillota; Bacilli; Lactobacillales; Lactobacillaceae
Also listed under: 7 other names
Description: tRNA-Met
Rfam family: tRNA
About the family: Transfer RNA (tRNA) molecules are approximately 80 nucleotides in length. Their secondary structure includes four short double-helical elements and three loops (D, anti-codon, and T loops).
Source: RNAcentral
UGCGGGGUGGAGCAGUUGGUAGCUCGCCGGGCUCAUAACCCGGAGGUCGGUGGUUCAAGUCCGCCCCCCGCGACCA